UCCGCAGCGCCGGGGGCUCGUGGGCCCGGCCAGGGGCAGACGCGCACAGACGGACGGAGCCGCCCGGCUGGAGGGAGAGACGCUGCGGCCGCGGGCUAUUUUAUUGCAAAGCCACUGUGGAAUCCUCAUCUUUCAGACUUUCUGUGGUGGAGUCAGUUGAGCCAAAAUUGUAUCAGACUUAUUUGUUCUGGGGCUUGUCAUCUCUGUCUGACAUAUUAUUGUCUUAAUCCAAAAUACGGUGCAAUGUCAGCUGUGGAACAGCAACAGGCAGAACCUUCUCCAUCAUCCAAUUCAUCCAGUUCCUUUGAAGUAGUGGAGGCAGAUACUGCAAAUAACUAUGAGGCAGUUGUUCCUCACUGGUUUUACUGCAAGGUAAUAGAUUCUAGAGAGAGGUGGAUCCCUUUCAGUCAACAAGACUCGGAGAAGUUAGAAGAGGCCCACAACUCAAGGAAAGACGAUGAACAGCUGGUAGUUCCAACGGAAGGGGGCAGGUAUGACGUGCAUUUGAAGAAGAGGCUGCGCUGUGCCAUGUAUUGGGAGGAAGAGGUGUCUGAAGUGAGACGCUGCACCUGGUUUUACAAGGGAGACAAGGACAACAAGUAUAUUCCCUACUCGGAGAGCUUCAGCGAAGAGUUGGAGGAAACGUACAUGAUUGCCAUAACUCUGGACGAGUGGAAAAAGAGACUUGAAUCCCCUACUAGAGAAAUCAUUAUAUUGCAUAACCCAAAGCUGAUGGUGCACUACCAUCCAGUGACAACCUCUGAUGACUGGGGCUCAACCCCUACAGAACAAGGUCGACCAAGAACUGUUAAGAGAGGAGUGGAGAACAUCUCUGCUGACAUCCCCUGCGGGGAGCCUCUGCAAAUAGAUCACUUGGUUUUUGUUGUUCAUGGAAUUGGGCCAGCAUGUGAUAUCCGGUUCCGGUCCAUCGUCCAAUGUGUGAACGACUUCCGUAACGUUUCCUUGAGCAUGCUGCAAGCACACUUCAAGAAAGCCCAGGAGCAGCAACAGAUUGGCCGGGUAGAGUUCUUGCCUGUAAACUGGCACAGCCCUUUGCAUUCCACGGGGGUGGAUGUCGAUUUGGAGCGAAUUACCUUGCCGAGCAUCAACCGCCUGCGGCACUUCAUAAACGACACCAUACUGGAUGUUUUCUUCUACAAUAGCUCCACCUACUGCCAGACCAUAGUGGAUACUGUUGCUUCAGAAAUGAACCGUCUGUAUCGGCUCUUCCUGCAGAGGAACCCUGACUUUAAAGGGGGUGUUUCCAUCGCGGGCCACAGCUUAGGGUCACUGAUAUUGUUUGAUCUCCUAACAAAUCAGAAAGAUUCCUCUGAGGAUGAAGAUGACAACAAAGAGGGGUCCCAGAUGGGUGCCUAUGGACAGGGAGACAUUGGGGGAGUGAAAGAAAUCCUGAAGAAGCUUGAGCUGUCUGAGUACUACAGUGUCUUUGAGAAGGAGAGAAUGGACACACAAGCACUGGCUCUGUGUACGGAGAAGGAUCUUAAAGACAUGGGAAUUCCCUUGGGACCAAGAACAAAGAUCCUUCAUUAUGUAAGAACCAAAGACGAAACACAGGAUGCUCAGCAGCAGGCCCCUGUCCCUGUUGGGAAUAACAACAAGAGCGAAGAUGCUCCCAAACCUGAGUCAGGGUCAUCCCCGCAGCUGGGCGCCUGGAGCAGCAGCAUGAAUGGUGGGGGGAAGUGUCAAUACUUGGAUGUCGGGCUAGGACAGGUCUCAGCAAAUUACCCUCAGCUAAUCUACAAACCUGACAUCUUCUUUGCUUUUGGGUCUCCCAUUGGGAUGUUUCUCACUGUACGAGGUGUGAAAAGGAUUGAUCCAAACUACAGCCUUCCUACCUGCAAAGGCUUCUUCAAUAUCUUCCAUCCUUUUGACCCGGUGGCGUACAGGAUUGAGCCUAUGAUCAUUCCAGACCUGGAGUUCGAGCCCAUGCUGCUCCCUCAUCACAAGGGCAGGAAGAGAAUGCAUUUAGAACUGAAAGAGGGCCUGACCCGCAUGGGUAUGGAUCUCAAGAACAACCUGCUGGGGUCACUGAGGAUAGCCUGGCAGUCUUUCACCAGAUCCCCACUGCUGGCUGUGGAGGCAGCAGCCACUGAAAAGGAAGCUGAAACUAGUUUGGAGAAACAGCCAGUCCAUUCAGAUAUGAAGCCCGAAGAGCCUGCUGCUAUAGGGAAGGAAGACACCCCUCCUAUCAAUGUGGGAAUGCUAAAUGGAGGCCACCGGAUUGACUAUGUGCUGCAAGAGAAGCCUAUAGAGAGUUUUAAUGAAUAUUUAUUUGCACUACAAGGCCAUCUCUGCUACUGGGAGUCCGAAGAUACCGUUCUCUUGAUUCUAAAAGAGAUCUACCAAACACAGGGCAUUACAUUAGAUCAGCCUCUACAAUGAAGUCAGAUGACCAGCUGCACUGUUCUGGUGACAUGAUGUGCACACCAAGUGACUACUCACCUGGAAAGCCCGGAGUUCCCUCUGCCUUCCUGUCCUCUGCUGCUACUGUAUCCUGCAUGCUGCUUCCUGCAUACCUGCUGCUGCCUGGAGCACUGGGAGAUUUUUCUCAUUUUGGGGGGAAAAAAAUCAACGCAGAACACUCUCUUCUCCUAAAAUACCCACUAUGGACUUGCCCCUGUGCCCAUUGUGACGCCCAUGGGAUCGUUCACGCCAACACCAUUCAGCUGACUAGUCUGAUCAUCUCGCAAAACCCCUCUGCAGUAGGAGUGGGACCUGUCCAAGGAAGAGGGGCUUAAGCCCAGUAACUGCAGCAGGGGGCUGAGGACAGACCAACUCCAUGUCCAGUUCCUUAGCAAAGCAUUCAAUCUAGACUCAGUCAAGACCUCAUUAAGAGAAAAAAGAGCUGCAUUUGAGUGUGGAUGAACAGCUGUGGUGGUAGAGGCUUUCAGUGUGAUUCAUGGGCCAAACGCUCUCCUUUACCCCACCCAUUCCACACUGCUGAGUUCCAAGUGGCUACAUUGGUACAGCUGAGGGGAGCAUCUGGCAUCAUCAACCAACCUCUCCUAUAUAAACAGGUGCUGUGACACUAGAUCCAUGUUCACAAAAUGUGGGUGACCCUGCUGAUGAAACCAUAGGAACCUUUUGUACACAACCAUGGCUUACGCUGUAUUAACCAGGAGCUGCUGAAUGAUUGCUGUUAGAAGCACUGUAAGGGUAACUUAUGGGGCAGAGAUACUAAAAUGAUAAAUCCCUUGUAACCAAAGAUGUACAGGGUAAACAAUGGACUAAACUAACCCCUUAGCAUGUGGAUUCCUUUGAGCAAGGGAGAGCAAAUGCGGAGGGUGUGAGAUAGUGUCUCUGGGUUGGAGUCUGGAAGUGGCCACUCCCAUGUUCCCCGUUCUGCUGUUCAGUGCAAUAGGCCUUUUCCCAGUGCAAUGAGCUUGUUUGUUUUUCUUCUGUGUAUUAUUUGCACUAUUUAAAUGCAUUUUGUAUUCCCCAACCCUGCCCCCUCCAAAAGAACUAAGAGAAGCUGUACUCACACCUGACUGGGCAGUGAUGUUCUGCACAGCUAAGCUCCUGGAUUCCUAUCGCAUCUCCUGGAGGUAUGUAAGAAGGAACUGUUUGACAGGACACACAGUCAUGACCAGCUCUUCAAGUUAUGCACUUUGGGUAAAAAAUUUAAAUGCAUUUAAAAUUGUUAUUUAAUGUCUUUUUCCAGUCAAUACAAAAGUAAAUCUAUGGGUGCAGUGGUUGUGUUUGUUUGUUAGGGAGAGUUUGAGUGGGGUGGUGGAAUAUGAGAACCUAUUAUUUUGGGAUCUCACUUCAUGGCAAAGUAAAGCUGUUGUCAAAAUUCCCAAGAGGAGCCCUUGGCAUUUUACAAAAGGCCACUGCAGUGGACAAGCAUUACAGGAGAAAACACAACUAAGUAGUAGCACCAACUGGAAGUACCUCUUUGUUCACAGGUAGGGAGAGCUGCUUCUAAAAAUGAGUAUUGCUGUAAGGAUAAGAGGUUUUUCAGCAAAGCCCAUCAUUCAGCCUCUUGUUCUUGGAAGCAAAGGAGAUGCCCACAUCUAAAAGUGGCAGAGCUCACCUUGUUACUGUCCUUCAGCGAUGUAUGAAGCAGCCUCAACACUGCCUGCUUACCUCCAGCCAGCAAAAACAGGUGCUUUUGAAGGUUAUCUUAAAAGAGUAGCGGUAAUUCCUUGAGGGUUACAGCUCUCAAAUCUAACCAUAAACAGUUGAAUAAACCAAACCCUGUGACAGAAUACACUGCUUUACCAGUCAGCCUUUCAACAACGGUGAAGACACAUGGCAUUUGCUUCUGACUGUCAUCUCUCAUUGUUAUUAGUGUACAGUAGGGAGGGAGGAAGCAAACCUUGCCUAGAAUUACUAAUAAUGGACAGAAAAACCUGACCUACUUUAUAUAAAAAGAACCAGCUAUAUAAAGACGGAUGAUGUUUUUUAGUACCAAAAAGUAAUAGAACUCAUUUCACUGAAUUAAAACCAGCUUUUUAUUUGACAUUAAAAAAUCCAGUAAAUGACAUGA
This is an RNA transcript of Gopherus evgoodei (Goodes thornscrub tortoise), 4510 nucleotides long. It is a transcript of the gene named DDHD domain containing 2, with no coding region annotated. The transcript has 20 exons. NCBI's taxonomy places the organism in Eukaryota, Metazoa, Chordata, Testudines, Testudinidae. The record is from RefSeq and is a predicted model, not a curated record.